RNAcentral lists this ribosomal RNA (255 nucleotides) under uncultured bacterium. RNAcentral's name for it is "partial 16S ribosomal RNA". It matches the Rfam family "Bacterial small subunit ribosomal RNA", at positions 524 to 776 of the family's 1533-position model. The record is from RNAcentral.
GACAUAGGUUGCGAACGUUAUCCGGAAUUAUUGGGCGUAAAGGAUGCGUAGAUGGUUUGAUAAGUUAUCAGUGGCAAAUCGGGGCUCAACCUCGUGGAAGCUGGUAAUACUGUCAUACUUGAGUGCAGGAGAAGUUAACGGAACUCUAUAUGGAGCGGUAAAAUGUGACGAUAUAUAGAAGAACACCAAUACGGCGAAGGCAGUUAACUAGUCUGUUACUGACAUUGAGGCAUGAAAGCGUGGGGAGCAAAACGG